RNAcentral lists this ribosomal RNA (292 nucleotides) under uncultured bacterium. RNAcentral describes it as "partial 16S ribosomal RNA". It matches the Rfam family "Bacterial small subunit ribosomal RNA", at positions 505 to 796 of the family's 1533-position model. The record is from RNAcentral.
GUGCCAGCCGCCGCGGUAAUACAGAGGGUGCAAGCGUUGUUCGGAAUUAUUGGGCGUAAAGCGCGUGUAGGCGGCUUAGCAAGUUGGGUGUGAAAGCCCUCGGCUUAACCGAGGAAGUGCGCCCAAAACUACUUGGCUUGAGUACCGGAGAGGGUGGCGGAAUUCCCGGUGUAGAGGUGAAAUUCGUAGAUAUCGGGAGGAACACCAGUGGCGAAGGCGGCCACCUGGACGGUCACUGACGCUGAGACGCGAAAGCGUGGGGAGCAAACAGGAUUAGAAACCCUAGUAGUCC